AAGUCGUAACAAGGUCUCCGUUGGUGAACCAGCGGAGGGAUCAUUAACACGUAUCCACGUAUCCACCCCUGUGCACUGUCAUUUCCGCCCUGCGCGUUACACGAAUGAGGAACGACUCGAGUAGCUUGAAUGGGAUCCGUCAAACGAUCGCUCUCGACUCAGCAUAUUUGAAGUGUCUUGUUUCGGCAAGCGCUUCGACCAUUGAAGUAACGUUUCCAGGCAAACCGCUGUUACCGAACUCUCCUUCAAGAGGGAAGUAAUGGCACUUAACAAAACAAUUUUCACCCUUUUUUGCUAGUUGAUUUAUCUUGUUGUUUCUCUCUUUGAUUAACUUUCAUCGAAGAUUCAACACGUUUAAUUUAUUUGAACGUUAAAUAUACAACUCUUAGCAAUGGAUAUCUAGGUUCUC
Molecule: unclassified non-coding RNA, 409 nt
Filed under: fungal sp.
Lineage: Eukaryota; Fungi
Description: partial internal transcribed spacer region
Rfam family: Eukaryotic small subunit ribosomal RNA (bases 1-46)
Source: RNAcentral